ACAUUUAGAUCAUGCUAAUCUUGAGAAGCUUAUGAACGAACAGAGGAGGAAGAGAUGUUCCAGUCAAUCUCAUUUGCAUUUAUUUUCUUGCAACCCCUGCCUUUGACACUAACCAGUGGGUGAGUCAGCAGCGCCAUAUGGCAGGGAUACCGGACACGCGCCCGCAAACCCCCUGCCCCUUCCCUCCUCACUUCAUGUCCUCUUCUCUUGGAUCCCCUCUCUCGUCUAGCUCGGCGGGGGCGCCGCCGCUCGCCGUUGCAACACCAGUCAUAGGAAUCGGUGGGAUACGCCAACCCUCAGUCCAGAUCAACAUCCACGCCUCCGGCUCCGACAUGCACGCUAGCUCGACGGGGUCGUGAAUCGCCUCGUUUUCUGGUGCGUUCUUGCUCCUAGGUAGUUCCCCUAGCUCCAUUGUUGCUCGUGUUGUCCCUUCAAUGUUCAUUCUGUGCCCCGACGUGCAAGAACCUCUUGGACCGAGGCCACCUUCCUCGGUUCCCUCGGCCGCCGCGGUCGUCGUCCUGACCGAACAACUCCAGGGACUGUGAGGGGCUCCUCUUUGUCCACAUCUCCUCUGGACCACGGUUUCCUCCUACUUCUUCCUCGAUGCUGACCGCCAUUGCCACUGUCCGGAGCUCGUUGCUCUGCUCUAUCCGGCCUCGCCACUAACAGCAGGGUGAGAAAUUGCCUCUGUUGCUGGUGUUGUUUGCUACUUGCCGAUUUCGCUGCUCUGCUGCUGUCGCUGCAUGCUGCUGACUACUGUUGGUUGCUGACUUGCUGUUGAUGCUUGAUGAUGUUAGCCGUGACCUGUGUGUAGAUGAGAGAAAGAGAGAUUGAUUUGCUAGUGCAAGGAUCUAAUGAGCCAGAUGCCAGCUGGUUUGAUCUUUUCAGCAAACGCUAUUGGGAAGUUGUGAGUGUGGGAGCGACAUUGUUUCUAUUUCAGCAACUUGCUGGCAUAAAUGCUGUCGUGUACUACUCUAGGUCCAUGUUCCGCACAUGCAUUGCAUCUGAUGUUGCAGAGAGUGCUCUUGUUGGUGAUGCCAAUGUUUUUGGUUAGUUCGGUGUUUGUAAAGUGUAUUUUGGCACUAAUUUCCAAUGCCUUCUUUGAGAUGUAUAUAUACUUCUCAUUGGCACCAUGAUUGAAUCUUCACUGAUGGACAAGCAAGGAAGGAAGAGCCUUCUCAUAACAAGAUUUUUUGGAAUGGCGGCGUCGAUGUUACUCUUGUCAUUGUCCUUCGCCUGGAAGGCUUUGGCACCUUAGUCUGGCACUCUUGCUGUUGUUGGCACUAUCCUGUAAGUGGUUUACAUUCACCUAAUAUGGUGUUC
Triticum dicoccoides is the source of this 1323-nucleotide long non-coding RNA. RefSeq lists it as uncharacterized. NCBI's taxonomy places the organism in Eukaryota, Viridiplantae, Streptophyta, Magnoliopsida, Poales, Poaceae. The record is from RefSeq and is a predicted model, not a curated record. The transcript is spliced from 3 exons.